AGAAAGAAAAAAGAAGGGGUUAGCUUUGGUCCUGCCUCCUUUCCUUUCUCUCAUUUGCUCGUCUCUCCUCCGUCCUUCGUCUGGAAAUUUGGUGAACUUGGCCAGGAGGUUCCAGAGCCCAGGGCUUUCCCUAGCAGCCUUGUCCUCUCACCUGGUCCCUCCUUCAGCUCCUGAGCACACAGUUUGGAGGACAGCUGGACAAGUGGCUGGAAUGAGUAGCUGCAGCUAACUCGAGUCGGGAAAAUGCGACAGCGACUGCCCACUCGAGGUCGUCAUGGCGACAGCCAGUGAACGUGUUCCUCUCCUCGGGCAGGCCCCCGAGUGUAGAGGAGCUGCUUCGCGAGGCGCAGCUCAAUCUCCAGAGCCUGUUGCAAGAAGAAUAUGAGGAACAGUACUCGGAGGCCAGACUUGUGGGGCAGACCUUCCGCUCUUCUGAUGAGGCCACUGAGCCC
RNAcentral lists this small RNA (452 nucleotides) under Pongo abelii (Sumatran orangutan). RNAcentral's name for it is "processed transcript". Lineage: Eukaryota; Metazoa; Chordata; Mammalia; Primates; Hominidae. The record is from RNAcentral.